AGCUGACCUCUCUGUGCCUUUGCUGAGCCCCGAUCCAGCCUUGAGAGCUGUUGUCACAGAACUUGUUAGUCCAUCUGCGGCUGCCAACCUGGAUCCCAGGCCACAACAGAGAUGUCAGCACUCACCCGUCAAGUGAGAGAGCCUAUGUGACACUUCUGCCCCACUUCCUUGGGACUUGACCUGGCAGCACUUCUCUUUGUGAGUGUAUCUGGGGAAGGACGUACACAUGUGAGAACGGCCCCUGGCUGACCAGCUGCACGGCUGUUGCCUCUUCUGCCCUUCAGACAGUGAUGUCCGUACUGUGUAAUGUGCAAGGAGGGAUAGUGAGUAGUGAUGAGUAAGACCUCUUAAGAGGCAACUGUUAUGCUAGCAGAGGUUAAUUCUAAGGGUCCCUGCCAGGUCUGAGACUACAGUCUACACUUUCAGUUCGUUUUGAGGUUGCAGGGUUUAGUUUUCCAAUCUGCCUAAUCCAUUUACAUAGGAGUUUACUGUAGAGACUAAUUUUGUACCUACAAAACACCCACUUAUGUUCAGAUUACAGGAGCAGUGUAUGGUACCUUGUCAGGAGAACCUAUAAGGCCUUAAUUUUCAGAGAAUCUUUGUAUUUUGUUGUGACACUGGUUCAGGCUCAAACAUUUCCAAUUUCAGUAAACCAAUUUUACUACUGAGGCAUUUAGGUGUUCUCAUGUAGAUACAUAUCUGCUUGGACAACCUUUUACAGGCAAUAAACACAUUUCUGUGUUAUGCUUUC
Notolabrus celidotus (New Zealand spotty) is the source of this 751-nucleotide long non-coding RNA. RefSeq lists it as uncharacterized. The record is from RefSeq and is a predicted model, not a curated record. NCBI's taxonomy places the organism in Eukaryota, Metazoa, Chordata, Actinopteri, Labriformes, Labridae. The transcript has 2 exons.